This 223-nucleotide long non-coding RNA is filed under the name Elaeis guineensis (African oil palm). Its description in RNAcentral is "long non-coding RNA (EGUI_LNC031217)". The record is from RNAcentral. Lineage: Eukaryota; Viridiplantae; Streptophyta; Magnoliopsida; Arecales; Arecaceae.
UUUAGUCUCAUAAUUUUAUGACCACAUCUCAGAAGAUAGCAAAAAUUGUUGCAAUUUUGCUUUGUUUUUUAUUUCCUUCUUUUGCCAUGGGUCUACUUCAUUUUGGCACUGGUCUUCUCAUUGCCAUUAGUUUGAUAUUAGCUUAAAAAACAAAGAGAUGGUUGAACUAUCCACAUAUAGGUAAUUUCUUCUUUGUGGUUAUGGUAAAUGGUUGUAUUGGACA